GCAACAGCAAUGACUGAAAGAAGUAAGUAUGAGCGGAACAUACAGAGAGCUGCCGGGUGGUGAGAGGCGCAUGGAAAACUGAUACCGAAUACAUUCACAAGCUGCGCAUUGAACGUUAUCAGAAAUGAUUUUGAUGAUCAGUAGGCUGCGCCGGGAGCAACCGUUAUAUUGCAGAAGUAUUGUCAGAUACUUGGUGAGGCGGAUCGUGUGAGCGGUCUGUGAAUUAAGGUGGUAACACGAGAUUUUAUCCCGUCCUUAUG
RNAcentral lists this non-coding RNA (260 nucleotides) under Roseburia sp. RNAcentral describes it as "T-box sequence". It matches the Rfam family "T-box leader". Rfam says of the family: Uncharged tRNA acts as the effector for transcription antitermination of genes in the T-box leader family. T-boxes are found upstream of many aminoacyl-tRNA synthetase genes and some amino acid biosynthetic genes usually in Gram-positive bacteria. Lineage: Bacteria; Bacillati; Bacillota; Clostridia; Lachnospirales; Lachnospiraceae. The record is from RNAcentral.